GUGGGGAAUAUUGGACAAUGGGCGAAAGCCUGAUCCAGCCAUGCCGCGUGUGUGAAGAAGGUCUUCGGAUUGUAAAGCACUUUAAGUUGGGAGGAAGGGCAGUAAGUUAAUACCUUGCUGUUUUGACGUUACCGACAGAAUAAGCACCGGCUAACUUCGUGCCAGCAGCCGCGGUAAUACGAAGGGUGCAAGCGUUAAUCGGAAUUACUGGGCGUAAAGCGCGCGUAGGUGGUUUUGUAAGUUGGAGGUGAGAUCCCCGGGCUCAACCUGGGAACUGCCUCCAAAACUGCAUGACUAGAGUACGGUAGAGGGUAGUGGAAUUUCCUGUGUAGCGGUGAAAUGCGUAGAUAUAGGAAGGAACACCAGUGGCGAAGGCGACUACCUGGACUGAUACUGACACUGAGGUGCGAAAGCGUGGGGAGCAAACAGGAUUAGAUACCCGUGUAGUCC
Molecule: ribosomal RNA, 450 nt
Filed under: uncultured bacterium
Lineage: Bacteria
Description: partial 16S ribosomal RNA
Rfam family: Bacterial small subunit ribosomal RNA
Source: RNAcentral